Molecule: long non-coding RNA, 515 nt
Filed under: Panax ginseng (ginseng)
Lineage: Eukaryota; Viridiplantae; Streptophyta; Magnoliopsida; Apiales; Araliaceae
Description: long non-coding RNA (PGIN_LNC018370)
Source: RNAcentral
CCGGCACAACAAGAAGAAUAUUUUCACAUAAUUUUACAAAAUAUGAUCAAACUCCUUUUUUAAGAGGCUCAUUUUCGUUACAUCUCACGGUCUUCCAAAAAUUUUAUAUUUAACAAAUGUUACAAACAUGAGAGGCUUGUGCACCGAUAGGAUUGGAAGAAAAACAAGCACCAAAAAGGAAAUAUCGGAACCGAACUUCACAAUCUGCUUGACUAGGAGUAAGUGCAUCAUGCAGUUACAUAUGUGUUAAGUAAUUUAGAAGUAACACUUUAAAGGAAAUUCCGACCAAAUUUAGAAAUUCAUUUCAAUUCUGAAUGGAACGGCAGGUUACACAAACUUGGACAACUAGCCUUGAAAUAAAAUUGAAAACUCAAAACAAAGUUAGGCUGGAUAUCUGGCCUGAAUCCUCAAAUGAAUACAGUACUCCAUAAUUACUUUAGUACAGAAUAAUGACCCAGUGAACAACAAGUAAUUGAAAGUUGUUAACAGUGUUAGAAACCUAGUUUUGGUAAAAU